ACCAGCCCCCACGGCGCACAAAGCGACGGCACCGCGAUGCCAGGCGUCGAGCCCUCGCCACGCUAGCGACCGCGACUGCUGCCACCUCAGCCGAGACAAAAUAUGUGAUAGCAGUGCAUGUGACAACGUAACUGUAGUGUUUCUUUUCACAAUACUUAACUUCCGCUAACAUGUACAAGACGGUGCGGCAUGGCGAGAACAGCCUGCAGUACACCAUCCUGCCGCAAACUGAGGAGGUGCUCAACAACAGCGGCCUUAAAGGCAAAGGCCGUGAUUAUAGCCCCUCGAUCCAUGUUCGACACUCUCGGAAAAGAUCGUCAGUGAAAUAUAUUCUGCUUGUGAUAUUCGGUAUAAUAGUAGCGUUGGCGUUGGCAUCUAUUCCACUCUAUGUUAUGAACGGAGCCCUGUACGCUCGCAGGAGCCAGCAAGACGUGAUUACGUCUUCGCCUCAUACGCCAGGUGGAAGGGAUAUAGUGAAGUCGCGCAAAAAGGACCUAAAGGAGAUAUCGCCAGAACUGCUUUCAACACUAAUAUCAAAACUUGAAACAACGUCAACUACUGCAUCUCCCGCCACUCCAUCCACGACAGUUGCCACAACUGUAGUUAGUGAAAGAGCAACGACGCCUCCAUGGACUAUGCCCGCUCUAAGGUCGUGGAAAAGCUCGACAUCUUCUACAACUAUUCCUCCUAUUCCGACUGAAGACAUUGAGGAGAUUCCCCUUAUAGGCACUCCCUCUGGUAGCAUUCGACGGCUCGAUCAGUACAUGUCGAAUAAACCAUGGGUAACAAAUAGUAAUAAUGUAAUACCACUAAAACCUACUGUAACACCUGAACCAACAGUCCGGAAUAUGUAUAGAUACUACUCUCGGUCAUUCGUUCCGUCAGUUAAAAUACCAACUGAUCCUCCAAAGGUGUUUGAGGAUGUGCUAAUUACUACGAAGGGUACUACGACGCGUGCCCCUGUGACGACCGAGAUCAUGACCACCAAUGACAGCUUUAGAAUGAGUGAAGAAUGGAAGGAUACUCUUCUAUCGGUUGAUGAUGACGAGGGUUUAAAGUCACUGGAAGUGGAUGAGGUGUUCUCCCUUCCGCCGUUGAAGCCGAACACCGCGGCCGACAGUGACGAAGUUACGGUGUCCAAGGCGGGUGACGGUACGUGGUACGGGGCACGGUGGCCUUUCGUGGACACGUCAUCAUACUUUCAAUGGACGGGCUACUCCCCCGGCGACAACCUGCUGCUGCCGCUCCUGGUCGCGGCGCUCUCGUCAAUCGCGCUUGUCUUGCUGCUGGCGCUCGCCGUGCGCAAGAGGAAGCGGAGCCAAACCGCCUCAGCGAUUGGGCUGACCUCGGACCUGCAGGCAGACGACAACACGAAUCUGCUCACGGCUGAAAACCCAGAGGACGUCGAGGAGUGAGCUCCGAGUCACCGCGCUUCAAGCUUCUUCGAUCCAUCCUAGAAUGCUUCUGUAUAUAUCGUGGUGGUACCCGUGGGUACCACAAAAAUGGAAAUUUGAAAAUCGUCUUUUUGCCUCUAGCUUAUUCGAGCGAUAGAGGCAAAUAGUUGAACGAACGAAAUGGUUCGCGGUUAUAACCCAGAGUAUCUGCACUCAAUUUCAAGAUUUUUGCGUAGGGACAAGGAGAAACCACAUCAUACAAAAUAUGUCAAAGACCUUGUGCUGUAAAGCUAAAUUGUAUGUGACAUACCUAUACUAUUGCUGAGUGCAGUAUCUGUGACUUUAUCCAUACAACAGACGCACAUAUAGUGUUAUCUAGGUAGUGUAAUAUCAUCUGUGGCACGGCGCAGCUUGCAAGCAAUGUUUCGGAAUUGGAACUGUGAGGGAGAGAUUGUUAAGAAGUAAUCACGGUUGGUAAUCGGACGCAGAAAGGCUGAAACAUUAUUUAAACACCCGCCUCUUCUAUGUUAACACAACACAGCCAUAGUUAAUGAAAUAGGAACGUAGGCUGUCCUCGAUUGUACAAGAGGCAUUCACGCACCUUGUAAUGAUUUAGCUGCCAUAGAUUCUCGGAGGUGUAUCCUCUGACGUACAUAACGGUCAUAUUUAAACUUUCAGUGCCUAUUGUUUGUAUAUAAAAUGUACCUACGUUUGGAGGUCUCCGUGCCGGCCAAGGACUUCAUAUUCAGAGAUACGAUAUAAUAUGUAAGUAUAUUUUGUAUUCACAUUAGAUAUUGGACUGUAAAUUAGGUAUGCGUCAAAUGCCAAAGUCGCUAAUUUAUUUUUGUUACAAAAUAUAAUCUAUAAAUAUUUAUUGAACGUCAUUUGCCAUCCUAUUAAAAAGUAUUAUUACUAGAUAUAUUAUAGUAGAAUACUGAUGAGCUUGCUAGUAACUUUACUGUACGGGGCUUAUCACAAUUUGUUUGAUUUCUUUUAAGAUAUCUUCUUAGUAGCUUCUUUCGUACCCCUAUGCUAAUGUUUAUAGGACCUAUCUUAGAAGUUAGAUAAUUCUCAAUAAUUAUUAAAUGGCUAGGAGGUUUGCUAUAUUUUCUAUUUAUCAUCAUGGAUUAACUUUUGAUUGAGAUAAAUUAUAAUAAUGGAUGCUGCCUACUACUUAAUAUUUAACUAUGUAAUACAAUAAAGGAACAAAACUACACCCAAUCACUUUAUAUAAAAAGGUUUCCACUCUUAGUACCUACAAUUAUUUAUAGGUAAACUCAUCAUCAGCACCUAAUUCAACAGUACCUAUUAAGUAUUCAAAAGCAUAUAUGAAAAAUGCAAUUCACAUAGUAUGUACUAUGUAUAUCAUAUCUCUGAAGGUUCGAUUGAAUGACUCGUCAGUAUUAAAACAACCCUGUGGUAUUACCUUGACGCUAAACAUGCAAUACUUUUUUAUUGGGUACACUACAUAAAAAGUCCGUAAAGAUUUUUUUCUGAAAGCAUAAUUGAGAAAACCGUGUUUUAUAAAAUAAUGUUUUCCUUCCUAUAUUUUCUGCUAAAUUAUCCAUGGCAAUAUUUCCCUCCGUGUUUCUAGAAUCAGAGAAGAAUAGGUAGUACUUUUGGAGAAAAAACUUUUCGGAUUUUUUGAGUGUUCCCCUAUUUAUUUUAUUAGUAGUCGGAUGAUAGGAUAAGGCGAAAAUAUCAAUCUUGGUGUACCUAAUAAUAUUGUACCGUUUAAACGUCAACUUUAUUAUAUUUAUAUUAUUUUAAUUUUAUUAUUCUUCAAUAAAAUUAUUUUUAAUAUAGACAUAAGACUGAUAUAGGAUUGCGUUUACAUUAUUUCGAUGUUAUUAGAUACCUAGGUAGUAGCGAUUCGUUGAAAAAUAUUUUUUAUAACGGCACUAUUUUGUUUCAAUAAGUUUUUCAGCAAUGCGUUUUUCGUGUGCUAUUUAAUGUAAAUCUAUUUAUAUGUAUUGUACUUCAAUGUUAGAAUAUGAGUGUAUGAUCGAGGGGAGACGAGUGGGAUUGUGUAGGACUAAAUAGUUAGAUAUUCAAAUGUGAUACCUGUGUAGUAUCGGAGACAAUGUGAUUCCCCUGUAGACAGAACAGUCCAUCGGUCAAGACAAAAGACCCCAUUCAAAACUUUAAACGUAACGCGUUAUAUUGCGACAACCAGAUAUCAUUGUCAUUAAGAUCCGAGUAGCAUAUUUACACACUCCGCAAUGUCACCAGUUAACUCCAACCGUCUUGAAUGGGGCCAUCGUCUGGCCCUAAAGUACCUAGCCUUAAGUUGUGUAACAUUCUGAAUUCAAUGUAAUGCCAUGGAUCACUAUAUCAAUCAUGCUAGCAAACAUUAUAUCUUGCAAAUGAUCGCACACAAAUGUAUCAAUAGUUGUUAAGUUAAAUUAGCUUUUGUGACGACAUUGUGUUCUGUGAUGCCAUGCGCGUAACUUUUAUAUACGCCGUUGUUUUUACACCCACCAUGUACAUAAGUAAUGAAAUAAACUGUGUUUUCCCACCUCAAAA
RNA transcript from Cydia splendana, 3920 nucleotides. RefSeq lists it as uncharacterized. The transcript has 4 exons. The record is from RefSeq and is a predicted model, not a curated record. Lineage: Eukaryota; Metazoa; Arthropoda; Insecta; Lepidoptera; Tortricidae.